AGGAGGUACUAAGACCUGCUAACUCUUUAACCUGGCACCAACCACCAGCCU
RNAcentral lists this transfer RNA (51 nucleotides) under Charina umbratica. RNAcentral's name for it is "partial tRNA-Ser". The record is from RNAcentral. Lineage: Eukaryota; Metazoa; Chordata; Lepidosauria; Squamata; Charinaidae.